This 253-nucleotide ribosomal RNA is filed under the name uncultured bacterium. RNAcentral describes it as "partial 16S ribosomal RNA". It matches the Rfam family "Bacterial small subunit ribosomal RNA", at positions 524 to 776 of the family's 1533-position model. The record is from RNAcentral.
UACGAAGGGGGCUAGCGUUGCUCGGAAUCACUGGGCGUAAAGUGCACGUAGGCGGAUCUUUAAGUCAGGGGUGAAAUCCCAAGGCUCAACCUUGGAACUGCCUUUGAUACUGGGGAUCUCGAGUCCGGAAGAGGUGAGUGGAACUGCGAGUGUAGAGGUGAAAUUCGUAGAUAUUCGCAAGAACACCAGUGGCGAAGGCGGCUCACUGGUCCGGUACUGACGCUGAGGUGCGAAAGCGUGGGGAGCAAACAGG